GCCGGGCGCAGUGGCGUAUGCCUGAAAUCCCAGGGGCUCGGGAGGCUGAGGCAGGAGGAUCGUGAGUUCAAAGCCAGCCUCAGCAAAAGCGAGGCACUAAGCAUCUCAGUGAGCCCCUGUCUCUA
This 125-nucleotide small RNA is filed under the name Marmota monax (woodchuck). Lineage: Eukaryota; Metazoa; Chordata; Mammalia; Rodentia; Sciuridae. The record is from RNAcentral.